Molecule: long non-coding RNA, 327 nt
Filed under: Gossypium barbadense (sea-island cotton)
Lineage: Eukaryota; Viridiplantae; Streptophyta; Magnoliopsida; Malvales; Malvaceae
Description: long non-coding RNA (GBAR_LNC004271)
Source: RNAcentral
UCUUUCUCAUCAUCUUUAUCAUCUUCAGUUUGUCCAUGGGUGCUUUCUUCAAUGGCUUCCAAGUGAGCAGCUCUUUCUGCACAUCAAACAGGUUGAAGUUCAAUUAAUUAUUUUUACGAUAACUCUCGAUAUAAAUAUAAUUGUAAGUUGCAACUUACUGCUCUUUGAUCUACCCCCAGAUGGAGUAGUAGGAACCGACAGUGAUGCAGUGGAAACAGCAAUGUCGGAAGCAAGACGAGUCAUCUCGACGGACCUAUCGAAAUUCACCGGGGGAUUCUCAACUUUGAUCCUAAAAGCAAUCAAAGCAUCCAUUUGUUUGUUCAAAAC